This 292-nucleotide ribosomal RNA is filed under the name uncultured bacterium. RNAcentral's name for it is "partial 16S ribosomal RNA". The record is from RNAcentral.
GGACUACUAGGGUAUCUAAUCCUGUUUGCUCCCCACGCUCUCGCGCCUCAGCGUCAGUCACAGUCCAGGUGGCCGCCUUCGCCACUGAUGUUCCUUCCGAUCUCUACGCAUUUCACCGCUACACCGGAAAUUCCGCCACCCUCUACUGUACUCCAGAUCCAUAGUCUAAGAUGCAGUUCCUAGGUUAAGCCCAGGGAUUUCACAUCUCACUUACACAUCCGCCUACGCGCCCUUUACGCCCAGUUACUCCGAUUAACGCUCGCACCCUCUGUAUUACCGCGGCUGCUGGCAC